Myotis brandtii (Brandt's bat) is the source of this 1603-nucleotide long non-coding RNA. RefSeq lists it as uncharacterized. The record is from RefSeq and is a predicted model, not a curated record. The transcript is spliced from 3 exons. NCBI's taxonomy places the organism in Eukaryota, Metazoa, Chordata, Mammalia, Chiroptera, Vespertilionidae.
UCUCCGGGAGGCACUGAAAAAUAUCUGUGAUGUGAAUAAAUUGAAUAAGUUUGGGAUUCCGGUCCCCAUAAGGCUUCCCGAGAUACCUCCAUUCCCUGACAAAUCCUUGCCCCUCUCACUGCUCCUCAGUUAUUCCCUCGGGUGUCCAUUCCUUAUCCACCCCCCCCCCCCCCCCAAAUCCACAUGGGAGAUUGGAAGGGGUGUUCCACCCCAGAGAUCACAGUGCUCAGGCAGUGUCGGACUUAAGAGCGAUCAGCUCCGUCCACAAGAGGUGCUCACAGGAGGGCCUCCCAUCUCUGGGCCCUGCCCUGCGUGGGCUGGCAACAAAGGCAGAGAGAGAUACAGCCCAGGUGUUGUGUGCUCAGAGUAGGGAGAGGCCCGAGAAGCCUUUUCCCACUCACCUGGGCCUGGUGCCUUCCAGGCCGACCAGAGGAGCUCAGCAAUAAUUCAGGGGCUCCAGCUCUUUGGAACCUGUUGCCAGGAAACAGGGAGACAGGCACGUGCAUCCCUGGGGAGAGGAAUCAGUUUCCAGCCCAGACAAAGCAGUGAAAUGUAAGCCGAGGGCACUGACUGGGGGACUUGGGACCUUCCCACUCCAAUUCACAGAGGCUAAGUGGGGACAGAGGGCAGGGCCCUGCUGAGCGCAGCAGGUAUGGCUAUAGUCACCGGGGCGCCAAUGUGGGUCCGGGGGAAAAGGACUUUGGAAAUGGACUUUGUGAAAGGAAGAGGACUUUUCUGGAGCCAUUCCAAGAGAUCAAAUUCAAGUACUCCUGGGAAGGAGGCCUCUGUGGGGAGAUGUCGCUAUUAUUCUUGGCCAAUGUGGGUCACGGCAAGGGGUCAAGGUGGCAGAAGCCCGCUCUGUCCCACCCCCACCCUAGACUCCUUUGGAUCCGUUCACUUGCUGGGCACUGUGCCAGCUAGGGAGGCUGGUGCAUCUUUAAUGAAGUCACCAGAUCCCUGGGACAGGCUCUCGGUCUCACCAAGUUCCUAAGACAGACCCACUGGAUGCCCUCUGAGCCACUGCCUCCUGUACCUGGGCACCAGGCCCGUUUCCCCUGCAGCUAUGAGCCAGGCCUUCUGGAAAACCUACAAAUCCAAAGUGCUCCAGACCCUGAGUGGGGAAUCUGAGGAGGAUCUGGCAGAGGAGAGGGAGAACCCAGCUUUAGUGGAGUCUGAGACAGCAGAACCGACCUCGGAGGCCUUCAAUCCCAUGUCACAGCUGGCCCGCCGGGUUCAGGGGGUCGGAGUGAAAGGUUGGCUGACAAUGUCAUCUCUGUUUAACAAAGAAGAUGAAGAUAAGCUGCUGCCACCGGAGCCCUGUGCUGACCAGUAUGUGUGUGUGUGUGUGUGUGUGACGGGGAGGGGGAGGCUCUGGGAUGGGCCUGGGGUCGCCUUCUCCACGGCCUUUCCAUAUGGUCAGUUUGUCUUUCUGACCACGGAGGGUUGGGAUGGGCCAGCCCCUGCUCUUUCUGUUUCUCUUAGCAGGAGAGGCCAAAUCAGCAUAUCUGGGAGAUUAGGGGUAGAUUACAGGAGGAAUUUACCAAAUGUUGGGAUCGAGGUGCUAGAAGGUAUUAUGGGCGCUCUCUCUCCAUCCACGUGGGAG